GAGAGAUUAAAAAACUAAUUAUCUUUAGCCUUUGCAAAGGGAUACCAUAAAAACAAAUUAUUCACAUUGAAAAAAAAAAUUGGCUGGAAAAACAAAUUGUGUGCUUAUCAAGUUUGUCCAACUAAAAUUCCUCAAUGAAACAAUGGUAGAUCCUGAAUAUGCAAAUGCAUUAGCAUGAUGUCGUCGAUAAUGGUUGAUUACAAAGAAAACUAUCUGAUAAAUAAAACAUUGAUGUCACACCACAUAUAACUAUCUGAUAAAUAAAACAUUGAUGUCACACCACAUAUAACUAUCUGAUAAAUAAAACAUUGAUGUCACACCACAUAUAACUAUCUGAUAAAUAAAACAUUGAUGUCACACCACAUAUAACUAUCUGAUAAAUAAAACAUUGAUGUCACACCACAUAUAACUAUCUGAUAAAUAAAACAUUGAUGUCACACCACAUAUAACUAUCUGAUAAAUAAAACAUUGAUGUCACACCACAUAUAACUAUCUGAUAAAUAAAACAUUGAUGUCACACCACAUAUAACUAUCUGAUAAAUAAAACAUUGAUGUCACACCACAUAUAACUAUCUGAUAAAUAAAACAUUGAUGUCACACCACAUAUAACUAUCUGAUAAAUAAAACAUUGAUGUCACACCACAUAUAACUAUCUGAUAAAUAAAACAUUGAUGUCACACCACAUAUAACUAUCUGAUAAAUAAAACAUUGAUGUCACACCACAUAUAACUAUCUGAUAAAUAAAACAUUGAUGUCACACCACAUAUAUCUUUUGGUGAGAUGGCAUAAAAAUUUCAAACAUCUACCUAACUGGAAAGUAUCAUGCACGAGUAACUGAGGCCAGGUUAGACGUGUUACCAUCCUGCAAACACAAACAAAGUGCAUCAUGUCAUUCGACAAAGUAAUGCAGAUAUCUGUAAAUAGACAAUAACAGAUAGGUUGAGAUUUUUGAGUGAUGAUCAAGUAAUAUAAAUCAGAAUUAGCACUCCUCUGAUUAGAUUCAAGGAAAUAUCGAUAGCAGUAUCAUCUGAGGUAUGGGCAGCAGAUAAGUAGUGUGCUUUGUUAUCUAGUAUUCCCUGCAAUAGCCUAAUAGGGGAACUGAAUGUCCAAAAAAGGGGGUGCUUUUGCCUAAGAUAUGAAAUUUGCACAUUAUGGAUGUUGAUAAACGUUCUGAAGAAAAUUUCUGGACAAAAACAGAUGAUACUACUACUUAUCGGUGUAACUUAAUUUACAGACUCUAGUUUUCCAUUUCAUGGCAAGGAGUAUUUCAACCACCUGAAAGAUUGAAAUUUGCACCUUCAACAUUUCUUGAACUUCCAAUUUUCCCCUAGUAACCCCAUUGUCCCAAAAGGAAAAAGAAACUAAUUUAUGUACACCUCCAACAUUCCCAGGUUCACUGGUUUCACUAAAUAUGCAUCCUAGAAAAACACAUCAACAACAACAAUAUACCCAGUAAAAUCACACAAAGUGUAGUCUGGGGAAGGUUGGGGAAGGUAGAAUGUACACAGACCUUACCACUACAUCAUGGAGGUAGAGAGGUUUCCGAAAGACUUUUGGCUCAGAUGCAACAAUUCCAGAUACAAAAAAGAAAAUAUAGCAAGAAAUACCAGAAGGUAGCAACAACACAAAAAUAAUGCAAUAAUCAAAACACAAUAAACGAUAUAAUAGGAUAGAGUACUGAAAACAAUAGUAAAUAAUAAUGGAUAUCAAAACAAGAACUACAGUAAUGCAACUAGUAUGCUGGCAAACAUCAAUCACCCUAAGCAAAACAACAUUACACUACGUACUAACCUUCUACCCUAAUACCCUAGAAAAACACAUCAAAAAGAGUAUUCCCUGCUUUUCAAGAUCAAUGGAACUGACUUCAAAACAAAAAAGUUAUUUUAGAAGAACUAAUUGACAAUUAGAGCAUCUGAUCACUUCCGCUCAUAAAUGCAAGACAAGUAGCCAACUGUAUUAGUAGAAUCUAUAGAUCUAUGAUAGUAGGGGAAAAAAUGGUUGCAGGACAAUUGAAAAUUUCUGAUUCAAAGUGUUGAAGACAUUACCCUAUCUAUCUAACACUAUUAUAAAAGCACGAAGCCCCUAUGUGAAUUGGUGAUAAGACUUUUUUACCCUUUAAAAGUAGAUUUUACAUAAAGCAAAAUUGUUACUUAACUUUUUUCCUAAUAUUUAGAACUUUCCUUACUGGGAAAAGGGUCUGAAAAAUACUCCAAUUUUGGCCGAAUUUGCUAUCGAAUUUUGGUAAGGUCCUUUUACCCUCUACACUAUUUAAUAGUGUAUUUUAAAGGUAUAUAUGUGCCCACGUGGACACGUUACUAUUUAUAAUAUUGCAAUAUUUAUGAUGUCCACGUGGACACAUAUAUACCUUUAAAAUACACUAUUAAAUAGUGUAGAGGGUAAAAGGACCUUACCAAAAUUCGAUAUUGUUACAGCAAUUUCAAUCAAAGUCACUCGCACUUCCUCCUCCCAAGUUUUGUCCAAGCUGCAUCUGCACUGCACCUCCCGGUGUUCACUUGGACGGUGUCUCCACACCUGCACCCUCUGGUGACUAACUUCGUGGUGACACUCAAGUCACCACACCAUGACCCUCAAGUCACCACACCAUGACCCUCAGCUGUCUAGAAACCUGUUCUCCCUUGCAAUACAUUUGCGUUAUUAGUAGCGCCACAAACAAGGCUAAAGUAUUAGAGACCUUGAAGCGCAUCCUUAGCACCUUCAGCCCGGCCUAGUACUUGGACACAUCAUGAUGAGAACUGCUUAGUACCGCAAACAAAACUAGAGCAUUGGAGGCCUUGAAAGCAUGUCCUUGACAUCUCUAGCUUGCUGGAAUAGAGAUGGGAAUCAAUCAAGACACAGGGAGAGAUGGAAGAUUGUCCCCGCCUGCAUUUGGCGGACUAUAUAUGGAUGGAAAGGAACCAGAGAUGUUUCGAAAACAAGAGUUGCUCUCCGCAGAAAUUGAAGAUGAAUUGUCUAGUCCUUUUCUUUUUUGGUGUAAACACGAAUAUCCUCAAGAAGAAGAGGAUAUUCCUAGUAUUUUAGAUUAUUUAUGAAGCCUUAGUAGGGACACCUCUCCCACUAUAAUUUUGUUGUAAUUAUUACUGGAAUACUUUUCGGAGUAUUCCUUUUGUUCAUAAUACAAGUUACCUUCUUCAAAAAAAAAAAAAAGAGACUGCAGAGACAAACAGUAAUCUGUUCCUGCAUUGUAAAGUGACGGACCAAUAGUGGUCACUCUUCUUUAGCCUCACAGGUAACAACCGGACUAUGCCAGAACACACAACGGACAUUUUAAGUUGUUGGAUUAGGAGAGGGGCUAGCAAGUCGCUGAAGAGAUGGUGGAGAGCAGUUCCAUCGUGAAUUUAGUGGACAAUAUGGAAGGAAAGAAAUGGAAGAAGAUGAAGUGGACUUUCAUCGUGAAUUUUCAUUUUGGUGUAAACUAGCUAAUGUGGAAAAUGAAGUUCAAUUUGUUUGGGCUAUAGUUUCUCUGUUGAUAAACUUUUUGGAGGUCUCCAACAUAUCCUUAAUGCCGAGGAAUACAAUUACAAGUUCUCAGAAAAGUAGAGUAUGAAACCAUCCUUGUCUAGAUCUGAUGAAUAAACUCGUAUGAAACAAAUAGCUCUUAAAUUAGGAGCGAACUAGGGAGUCCAGGGAAAGAAAGACAGCCAUUGAAAAAGAAGCAAAAGAAUAAAGGGAUAGAAAGUAUCCUACCUACCUUGAACUAACGGAACUCAUCAUGGUCUUCAUAGUCUUCAUCAUCCUCGUUGAAUAUUGCACUAUAGAAAACAUACGGGCUAUCAAUCAUCUCUUUCAGAGUAAG
Molecule: long non-coding RNA, 3814 nt
Filed under: Solanum tuberosum (potato)
Lineage: Eukaryota; Viridiplantae; Streptophyta; Magnoliopsida; Solanales; Solanaceae
Description: long non-coding RNA (STUB_LNC002555)
Source: RNAcentral